Molecule: ribosomal RNA, 465 nt
Filed under: uncultured bacterium
Lineage: Bacteria
Description: partial 16S ribosomal RNA
Rfam family: Bacterial small subunit ribosomal RNA
Source: RNAcentral
GACGAACGCUGGCGGCGUGCUUAACACAUGCAAGUCGUACGGUAAGGCCCGUUCGGGGGUUCACAAGUGGCGAACGGGGUAGUAACACGUGCCUAACCUGCCCACAACUUUGGGAUAACGCUAGCAUACUGGUGCUAAUACUGGAAAUGUACUCCUGCUGCAUAGCGAGGGUUGGAAAGCUCCGGCGGUUGUGGAUGGACUCGCGGCCUAUCAGCUUGUUGGUGGGGUAGUGGCCUAACAAGGCGGCGACGGGUAGCCGGCCUGAGAGGGUGACCGGCGACAUUGAGACUGAGAUACGGCGCAGACUCGUACGGUCGGCAGCAGUGGGGAAUAUUGCACAAUGGGCGCAAGCCUGAUGCAGCAACGCCGCGUGUGGAAUGACGCGUUUCGGGUUGUAAACCGCUUUCAGCAGGGACGCAGCUUGUUGUGACGGUACCUGCAGAAGAAGCCCCGGCUAACUACGUG